AUUGAACGCUGGCGGCAGGCCUAAUACAUGCAAGUCGAGCGGAGCGGCGGACGGGUGAGUAAUGCCUAGGAAUCUGCCUGGUAGUGGGGGAUAACGUCCGGAAGCGGGCGCUAAUACCGCAUACUAUCAGAUGAGCCUAGGUAGGAUUAGCUCGGUGGUGGGGUAAAGGCCUACCAAGGCGACGAUCCGGACCUGGUCUGAGAGGGGGAUCAGUCACACGGCAAAGGAGAAACGGUCCAGACGCCUACGGGAGGCAGCAUUGGGGAAUAGUGGACAAUGGACGAAAGCCGGAUCCAGCCAGGCCGCGUGUGUGAAGAAGGGCUUCGGAUGGUAAAGCACGUUAAGUUGGGAGGCGUUACCUAAAGAAUAAGCACCGGCUAACUUCGGGCAAGCAGCCGCGGUAAUAC
This 407-nucleotide ribosomal RNA is filed under the name uncultured bacterium. Its description in RNAcentral is "partial 16S ribosomal RNA". It matches the Rfam family "Bacterial small subunit ribosomal RNA", at positions 29 to 526 of the family's 1533-position model. The record is from RNAcentral.